GUGAGUAAAGGCUUUAUUCUGUUUUUGGCAUAUAUUUACUGCUGAAGACUACUAAAAUGAUAGGCUUAUAGGUAAGAAAAUAUCUGCUUAAAAUCUUUGAAGAUAUGCUAGGUAAGUUAUUAUCAGGAUAAAACUAUACAGAAGUGAAGUACUGAAACUUAGUUUUACCCUUAGGACCCUUUGUAGAAGCUACCCAAAACGGGUAAAAACCAUAAACUCAGGGACCAUUCAAAACUGUGGAUUCCCAUAGGAUUCCUUUUCCCAUUUAAUUGGUACCCAAAAGUGCACCAAGAUCUCACAGAUCACUACUAAAUAACUUACUCGUGUAACCAAAUACCACCUGUUCCCCAAAAAUCUAUGGGAGAAAAAAGAUACCCCAAAAGAAUACACUUACAGUGGAAGAACUAAACUUGCUUCCUACCUGCUCCCCAAGGGACUCUGUAAAGAAUAUUUUUCUGGCGUGAGCCACCAUGCCUGGCCCCUUAAAAUAAUUUAGAUAGUCAGAUUAUUAAACAAAAUAUGCAGUAGCUAGGCUUACUGUGUUUAAGGAAAUAAAAAUAUGUGUAGAGAAGAAGAAAUCCUAAAGAAUAACGAUAGAACUGGAAGUAAAAACAAUUAUGAUUAAAAUUAAGAACCAAAUCAAUUGAAGGGAUUAGCAACAGAUUAGACAGAAUUAGAGAAUUAGUCAAUUGGAAGACUGUUCCCAAGAAUUUAUUCAGAAAUUUCCACAGAGUAGCAAAGAAAUAGAAUAUAUGAAAAGAGGAUACAGAAUGAUUUUCUACAGUCUUUGCUAUUGGUUGGUAAGUUUUAAUCAAGUUUUGUAAUUUAACAUCUAGUAGAUUUUAUUAUAAAGCUUUUUAUUUGUUUUUGUUUUUUUUUUAAAAAAAGGUAAGCAAGAAACUUGGAAUAUAGGAUAACGGAGAAGGUCUAAAAUAUACAUUUAGUCAGAGUUCCAGAAUGAAAGGGUAGAGAGAAUGGGGCCAAGUCAUUAUUAUAAGAGGCAAUUAGGACCUCUACAGAACUGAGGAGAGGUGUCAGAGUUUAGCCAGAAAAAAAAGAGAUUACUUUCAAGAAAGAAGAAUCAUUAGACAGCUGAUAGCUAGUUUCCCAACAGUGACAACCAAUAGACAUUGGAAUGAUAGCUUUAAUUUGCCAAGGGAAAAUAACUAUCAACUGAUAAUUGUAGGCCUUGCAAAAAUAUCUUUCAGUAAGAGUGUAGAAUAUGAGAAAUGGCCACCAGCAGAGUCUCAUGAAAGAAAGUCCCAAAGGGUAGAAUAAAAGUGAUUUUACCUAUCAGAGACACAGAAAGGACUGCAGAGCAAAACAAGUAAUAAAUACAUGAAUAAACCUAAGUGAAUAUUAACUGUAUAAAGCAAUUAUUAUGUCUUAUAGAUUUACUAUAACAACACAAACUGGGAGAGAGAGCAGUAAAUGAAUCUAAUAUUUAAAUGUAACUUCAUAUCUGGACAAAGGGUACUGAUUAAAGUUAUUAAAGUUUGCAAAUUGCAGUUUGAAGGAUACACAUUUAAUUGACAAGGUGAUCUAAGUUCAUUUGGAAAUUUCAGGA
RNAcentral lists this long non-coding RNA (1567 nucleotides) under Homo sapiens (human). RNAcentral describes it as "HSALNT0077593". The record is from RNAcentral. Lineage: Eukaryota; Metazoa; Chordata; Mammalia; Primates; Hominidae.